GACGAACGCUGGCGGCGUGCUUAACACAUGCAAGUCGAACGGAAAGGCCCUGCUUUUGUGGGGUGCUCGAGUGGCGAACGGGUGAGUAACACGUGAGUAACCUGCCCUUGACUUUGGGAUAACUUCAGGAAACUGGGGCUAAUACCGGAUAGGAGCUCCUGCUGCAUGGUGGGGGUUGGAAAGUUUCGGCGGUUGGGGAUGGACUCGCGGCUUAUCAGCUUGUUGGUGGGGUAGUGGCUUACCAAGGCUUUGACGGGUAGCCGGCCUGAGAGGGUGACCGGCCACAUUGGGACUGAGAUACGGCCCAGACUCCUACGGGAGGCAGCAGUGGGGAAUAUUGCACAAUGGGCGGAAGCCUGAUGCAGCAACGCCGCGUGCGGGAUGACGGCCUUCGGGUUGUAAACCGCUUUCGCCUGUGACGAAGCGUGAGUGACGGCAAUGGGUGAAGAAGCACCGGCUAACUACGUG
This 468-nucleotide ribosomal RNA is filed under the name uncultured bacterium. RNAcentral describes it as "partial 16S ribosomal RNA". It matches the Rfam family "Bacterial small subunit ribosomal RNA", at positions 28 to 507 of the family's 1533-position model. The record is from RNAcentral.